CAGUAGCGCGGUAAUACGGAGGGCGCGAGCGUUACCCGGAUUUACUGGGCGUAAAGGGCGUGUAGGCGGCCUGGGGCGUCCCAUGUGAAAGGCCACGGCUCAACCGUGGAGGAGCGUGGGAUACGCUCAGGCUAGAGGGUGGGAGAGGGUGGUGGAAUUCCCGGAGUAGCGGUGAAAUGCGCAGAUACCGGGAGGAACGCCGAUGGCGAAGGCAGCCACCUGGUCCACUUCUGACGCUGAGGCGCGAAAGCGUGGGGAGCAAACCGGAUUAGAUACCCCAGUAGUCCCUGUCUCUUAUACA
Molecule: ribosomal RNA, 301 nt
Filed under: uncultured bacterium
Lineage: Bacteria
Description: partial 16S ribosomal RNA
Rfam family: Bacterial small subunit ribosomal RNA
Source: RNAcentral